Molecule: ribosomal RNA, 472 nt
Filed under: uncultured bacterium
Lineage: Bacteria
Description: bacterial SSU rRNA
Rfam family: Bacterial small subunit ribosomal RNA
Source: RNAcentral
CUCUGUGACUCCUACGGGAGGCAGCAGUGGGGAAUAUUGCACAAUGGGCGCAAGCCUGAUGCAGCCAUGCCGCGUGUGUGAAGAAGGCCUUCGGGUUGUAAAGCACUUUCAGUUGUGAGGAAGGUGGUGUCGUUAAUAGCGGCAUCAUUUGACGUUAGCAACAGAAGAAGCACCGGCUAACUCCGUGCCAGCAGCCGCGGUAAUACGGAGGGUGCGAGCGUUAAUCGGAAUUACUGGGCGUAAAGCGCAUGCAGGUGGUUUGUUAAGUCAGAUGUGAAAGCCCCGGGGCUCAACCUCGGAACUGCAUUUGAAACUGGCAGACUAGAGUACUGUAGAGGGGGUAGAAUUUCAGGUGUAGCGGUGAAAUGCGUAGAGAUCUGAAGGAUACCGGUGGCGAAGGCGGCCCCCUGGACAGAUACUGACACUCAGAUGCGAAAGCGUGGGGAGCAAACAGGAUUAGAUACCCUGGUAG